Long non-coding RNA from Quercus robur (English oak), 285 nucleotides. RefSeq lists it as uncharacterized. NCBI's taxonomy places the organism in Eukaryota, Viridiplantae, Streptophyta, Magnoliopsida, Fagales, Fagaceae. The record is from RefSeq and is a predicted model, not a curated record. The transcript has 2 exons.
GAUAUUUUCUUCCCUAGCAUCCCACGUACCCCACCCCUAAAGUCAAUUUGGCUUAUCUUUAUUUUGCUGCAUCUGAAGUCCAGCAACUCACUUUCCUCUUUCUCUACUCCUUUCUCCCCUUUCUUUGUUCUUCUUUCCUCUUCCCUUCUUACACAGCAACAUCUCUCUCUUCCUUUCUCACCAAAAAUUUUAGUUUCUUUAAAGAAGAAAUUAAACAAUUAGCCUUAAGGUUUCAUCUUCAAAGUGUGUGGGUGUUACCAGUAUCCAAGUCUAAGCUCCUUCGAC